This 253-nucleotide ribosomal RNA is filed under the name uncultured bacterium. RNAcentral describes it as "partial 16S ribosomal RNA". It matches the Rfam family "Bacterial small subunit ribosomal RNA", at positions 524 to 776 of the family's 1533-position model. The record is from RNAcentral.
UACGAAGGUGGCAAGCGUUGUUCGGAUUUACUGGGCGUACAGGGAGCGUAGGCGGUUGGAUAAGCCCUCCGUGAAAUCCCCAGGCUUAACCUGGGAACUGCAUUCGAGACUGCAUAGCUAGAGUAUGGGAGAGGGAAGUGGAAUUUCAGGUGUAGCGGUGAAAUGCGUAGAUAUCUGAAGGAACAUCAGUGGCGAAAGCGACUUCCUGGACCAAUACUGACGCUCAUGUGCGAAAGCGUGGGGAGCAAACAGG